This 481-nucleotide ribosomal RNA is filed under the name uncultured bacterium. RNAcentral's name for it is "bacterial SSU rRNA". It matches the Rfam family "Bacterial small subunit ribosomal RNA", at positions 36 to 518 of the family's 1533-position model. The record is from RNAcentral.
CCUGGCGGCGUGCCUAAUACAUGCAAGUCGAACGCUCUUUUCAUCGAACUCGGUUCACCGAAAAGAAGAGUGGCGAACGGGUGAGUAACACGUGGGUAACCUACCCAUCAGCGGGGGAUAACACUUGGAAACAGGUGCUAAUACCGCAUAAUCUUUUUCUCCGCCUGGAGAAAGAGUGAAAGGCGCUUUUGCGUCACUGAUGGAUGGACCCGCGCUGCAUUAGCUAGUUGGUGAGGUAACGGCUCACCAAGGCCACGAUGCAUAGCCGACCUGAGAGGGUGAUCGGCCACACUGGGACUGAGACACGGCCCAGACUCCUACGGGAGGCAGCAGUGGGGAAUAUUGCACAAUGGAGGAAACUUCCUGAUGCAGCGACGCCGCGUGAAUGAUGAAGGCCUUCGGGUCGUAAAGUUCUGUCCUUGGGGAAGAUAAUGACGGUACCCAAGGAGGAAGCCCCGGCUAACUACGUGCCAGCCGCCGC